GAGUUUGAUUAUGGCUCAGGAUGAACGCUAGCGGGAGGCCUAACACAUGCAAGCCGAGCGGGAUUUGUUGGUUAGCUUGCUAACUAACAAUGAGAGCGGCGUACGGGUGCGUAACACGUGUGCAACCUGCCUUUAUCUGGGGGAUAGCCUUUCGAAAGGAAGAUUAAUACCCCAUAAUAUAUUGAUUGGCAUCAAUUAAUAUUGAAAGCUCCGGCGGAUAGAGAUGGGCACGCGUAAGAUUAGCUAGUUGGUGAGGUAACGGCUCACCAAGGCUGCGAUCUUUAGGGGGCCUGAGAGGGUGAUCCCCCACACUGGUACUGAGACACGGACCAGACUCCUACGGGAGGCAGCAGUGAGGAAUAUUGGACAAUGGGUGAGAGCCUGAUCCAGCCAUCCCGCGUGAAGGACUAAGGACCUAUGGUUUGUAAACUUCUUUUAUACAGGGAUAAACCUACUCUCGUGAGGG
This 466-nucleotide ribosomal RNA is filed under the name Bergeyella zoohelcum. Its description in RNAcentral is "bacterial SSU rRNA". It matches the Rfam family "Bacterial small subunit ribosomal RNA", at positions 9 to 468 of the family's 1533-position model. The record is from RNAcentral. Lineage: Bacteria; Pseudomonadati; Bacteroidota; Flavobacteriia; Flavobacteriales; Weeksellaceae.